This 288-nucleotide ribosomal RNA is filed under the name uncultured bacterium. Its description in RNAcentral is "partial 16S ribosomal RNA". It matches the Rfam family "Bacterial small subunit ribosomal RNA", at positions 773 to 1060 of the family's 1533-position model. The record is from RNAcentral.
GUGGAUUAGAUACCCUGGUAGUCCACGCCGUAAACGAUGGGCACUAGGUGUGGGAGGUGUCGACUCCUCCUGUGCCGAAGCUAACGCAUUAAGUGCCCCGCCUGGGGAGUACGGCCGCAAGGCUAAAACUCAAAGGAAUUGACGGGGACCCGCACAAGCAGCGGAGCAUGUGGUUUAAUUCGACGCAACGCGAAGAACCUUACCUGGGCUUGACAUGUAGGUGACAGCUGUGGAAACACAGUCUCCCUUCGGGGCACUUACACAGGUGGUGCACGGCCGUCAUCAGCU